AAUAUGGACAUUAUAAAAUAGUAUAACUUAAUCAGUGACAGAUAUGGAAACUUGGGUGAGAAUAUUUAUAGGUGUUACUGUAAUGGUAUUAGUGAUAGCAUUAAAGGUCACAAUUUGGCAACUUUAUCUUCGACAAAAAUGUUGUUUCAAAAAGAAAAAAGUAUUAACAGUAAGGGCUGGAACUGGAGCGCCAUUUACAAUGCACGAAGAUCAACUUGGUGGACAUAAUGGACAUGUCUUAUUUGUUCCGAACGCAGCAAAUAGAAAACACCGAUCUAGAUCACCAAAUAGAAACCAUCAUCACCACAAACACCACUCAUCAACACCAAGACAAGAAGGAGAACCCAGGUCUAAUCACAGGAACAGCAGCGUUCCGACUGAAAUAGUUGUUAACCCAUCAGCUCCACCCGUAUACGAUGAAGUUGUUGACACUCCACCCCCAUACAACUCAGUCAUGGCCUCUGCGCUUAAUUAAUUAGUGACUCUUUUAGUGUCAUAUAAAGCAUUUAUUCGGGAAAAAGAUUAGUUAUGACAGAAAUUUUCUAGUAAUUAUCAAGAAUCACAAUUGACUAAUUAUUGCAACACUAACUGCCCACCAACAUCACAGACAAUUCAAAAUAUGGACCGGAUUGCCAAGAUGAAAUCAAAUUGGUCAGUUAGAUUUCAAACGGUAGUGAUAAGAACAAAUUUUACAACAUCAAUAAUUAGUUGUCAGAUAUUAUUAUUAUGCUUGGUGGGUUGAGUUGCUAAAUGGCUUAAAGCGUGUGCAUUAUAUCAUAAGGCUUGCCAUUGAGUCAAGUAUGUAUGUGACAAGGUGUAGGUCGCCAAUCCAACCUCGUGGGUUUUCUCCGGUUUCCUCCCACAACUAUAGACCCCAAUCGCAAGUAAAUGAUUAAAAUAAAAUUGAACCAUAUGUUAGUCCCAAAAUGACAUAUUUUGUCUUGAGUGUAUGUUUAACAAUGUACAACUGUAGUUAAACUUCAUUGCAUAAGUCUUGUCCUAUAGUCAAAGACAUUUACCGGUUUCUCAGAUAUACACUGAUUAAUUUAAUUAACAAAAAGUUUGAUAACAAAGCUUCAAAAAGACAAUGUCGAUCUGUACUCUGUAGACUACGAGCGCUGGCUAAAAAGUUUUAAGCCAAUCUGUGAAAGACCUAUACGAUGUCAAUGGUUUCCAUUUUUUUUUCUACAUAGUCCCAUUAGAGCUGUACACACUUUUGCCAAUGAUGUUUCAAGGCCUGGAUGCCGGUCAGGAGGAAAUUUACUUCAGCCACCCUAAACAAAAAGUCAUUUACAGCUGACAUUACUAGGAAAAUGACUACCCACUGGUUCCUUUUUCAUUUUUGGAAACCGGUCUCAUCUAUUUAUGACUAUCACCCCCAUUUUUACUGUGGUGCCUAUCAUUUAGACAGAGAUGAUCAACCAACAAUUCCAAUUUCGGCACCGAACCAUCAUGUCGAACCAUCUGAAACAACGCCACAACGACGAGGUACAUAUUUUACAUUAACUCAAAUUUAUAUUAUAAACAUAACAUUAACAUAUUUGUAUAAAAGUUUAUUUAAAAUCAAAUAUCAACUUUUUUGAUUGUUUUAUACAGAGUUGUCAGGCAACUAAACAAAUGUGUACCAGAACUUAUUUUGUAGAAGCAGUUCAUGAAAUAUAGUGUUAUAUCUUUAUAUUUACAUAUUUACAAAGAUAAAUUUAUGUCUGAAAUAUUGUAAAUUUUAUAUCAUAAAUGUACAAAAUAUCAUGAAAGGGGAUACAUGCAUACAUGUAUAAAAUACAGCAACCAAUAAAUAUAAUAGUUUCAAUAAUCUUAAUUGAUUAUAUAUAAAUUGUUGCUUUUUGGCGAAGGGUAUAAAUAAUACUAUUAUUUUUUUUAUACAAUGUAAUUAAAUCCUUGGGGAAAAAAAGAACAUUA
Molecule: long non-coding RNA, 1920 nt
Organism: Patella vulgata (common limpet)
Lineage: Eukaryota; Metazoa; Mollusca; Gastropoda; Patellidae
Exons: 2
Source: RefSeq, a predicted model, not a curated record